Molecule: ribosomal RNA, 397 nt
Filed under: uncultured bacterium
Lineage: Bacteria
Description: partial 16S ribosomal RNA
Rfam family: Bacterial small subunit ribosomal RNA
Source: RNAcentral
AUACGUAGGGGGCGAGCGUUGUCCGGAAUGAUUGGGCGUAAAGGGCGCGUAGGCGGCCUGUUAAGUCUGGAGUGAAAGUCCUGUUUUCAAGAUGGGAAUUGCUUUGGGUACUGAUGGGCUUGAGUGCAGGAGAGGUUAUCGGAAUUCCCGGUGUAGCGGUGAAAUGCGUAGAGAUCGGGAGGAACACCAGUGGCGAAGGCGGGUAACUGGACUGUAACUGACGCUGAGGCGCGAAAGUGUGGGGAGCAAACAGGAUUAGAUACCCUGGUAGUCCACACUGUAAACGAUGAAUGCUAGGUGUAGGGGGUAUCGACCCCUUCUGUGCCGCAGUCAACACAAUAAGCAUUCCGCCUGGGGAGUACGGCCGCAAGGUUGAAACUCAAAGGAAUUGACGGGG